UAGCGCUAGAGAGGUGGCUGCUAGCCCAGCAUCUCUGCCUCACCUUACAGAUUUAGGGUGGAGUCUGAAAACCCGCAAUCUCCAAAUUCCAGACACUCCCGUAAACAAAACAGGAAGUGAACACUUUCGAGUCGAUGGGCGCAGAAUAAUGAGAGCUGGUGGAAGAGGAGCAUUUCUGGGAUUUACAUGUAAAAAAAUUGGAUUAAGGGCAGAAUCAAGCCCAGCGGAAGGAGACAAAGAAAGCCUGGAAAGCUAAAAUCAGAAGGAAGAAAAACAAAUAGAGCAGUAAAGUGUGAGGAAUUGGAAAGUGGAGUUUUGAGUAGAAGCCAGAGUUAUAAAGUUUCAGAGCUGGAAGGAGAUAUCUGUGGAAGCUGAACUGGGCCUGAAGACUAAAUAAUCUGCCAAAACCACAGGGAUGAUUAGUGGCAGACAAGCAAAGGACCCUCGUUUUUGGUAAAUGGUGCAUGUGACCCUUACAAUGCUCGAUUGAAAACACGUCACAAGGCCAAGUAAACCCACAGAGAAGCAUCCCUCCACCCAGUGUCUCUGCUCUUCUCUGCCGACUCCUGUACACGUGCACACACCGCCACCAUUGUAACAAUACAGGAAAUUGAAGGAAGCCAUUUGAAACCACCAAGGCGGGCACAGCCGCCACAGAUAACAUAUCAAACGCGAGGCUGGAAAUGAGCCCUGUUCGCUCUCACACAGGAAGUCCAACUCAAGCUGUUUGACCCUAUUCACUAAUCAGUUCCAUACUCACAAAAGAAUGUUGGAACAAAAACAGAAGCGGGGAGAAGAAAGAAACCAACCACCUUUUCCUUAGGAAGAGGUCUGGUUCCAAGGAGUUUUAAAAGAAGUCCUUUCAGUCUACAGAGUUCUGCAAGAAACUUGGUUUAUAACGAGAGUAGAAUUGCAGUACCUCUGGAGAGCUGUGGCGGAAGAAGAGGAAAGACAGUAUGUUGAUGUCUUUGAAAGGCAGCUACCUCACUCCUUUUGGGAGGGAUUCAGCACCACUAGCAAAACACUGGAAAGAAAAGGUGGAAUAGCUGCUAAAGUAGGAGACGUCAUUCUGUCCCGACAAGGACCCGGGUGAGAUUGCUAAUGCUAUUGCUUCUUCUGCUUGAAGCUGGUGCCAGCGAGGAGCAAGAGUGGAGCUGAGGUUAUUAUACACUGCAGUUUUCGUUAUCCUGGUAGUGAUGCCCAGUUCCCACUGCCAUUCCGAAGCUGCCUGUCCUUCGGGGUGUGACACAGGGUAAGACUGCCCUAAACCAUGUCACCGAGCCAAAAUCAGACAAAUAAAAGUAGAACAACAAUAACAACAUCAAC
RNAcentral lists this long non-coding RNA (1326 nucleotides) under Fukomys damarensis (Damara mole-rat). RNAcentral describes it as "lncRNA (ENSFDAG00000021997.1)". Lineage: Eukaryota; Metazoa; Chordata; Mammalia; Rodentia; Bathyergidae. The record is from RNAcentral.